Molecule: ribosomal RNA, 326 nt
Filed under: Agrobacterium tumefaciens
Lineage: Bacteria; Pseudomonadati; Pseudomonadota; Alphaproteobacteria; Hyphomicrobiales; Rhizobiaceae
Description: bacterial SSU rRNA
Rfam family: Bacterial small subunit ribosomal RNA
Source: RNAcentral
GCAUUUAGUUGGGCACUCUAAGGGGACUGCCGGUGAUAAGCCGAGAGGAAGGUGGGGAUGACGUCAAGUCCUCAUGGCCCUUACGGGCUGGGCUACACACGUGCUACAAUGGUGGUGACAGUGGGCAGCGAGACAGCGAUGUCGAGCUAAUCUCCAAAAGCCAUCUCAGUUCGGAUUGCACUCUGCAACUCGAGUGCAUGAAGUUGGAAUCGCUAGUAAUCGCAGAUCAGCAUGCUGCGGUGAAUACGUUCCCGGGCCUUGUACACACCGCCCGUCACACCAUGGGAGUUGGUUUUACCCGAAGGUAGUGCGCUAACCGCAAGGAG